RNAcentral lists this transfer RNA (140 nucleotides) under Calothrix sp. PCC 7507. It matches the Rfam family "tRNA". Rfam says of the family: Transfer RNA (tRNA) molecules are approximately 80 nucleotides in length. Lineage: Bacteria; Bacillati; Cyanobacteriota; Cyanophyceae; Nostocales; Calotrichaceae. The record is from Rfam by way of RNAcentral.
GGGUGGGUAGCUCAAUCUGGAUAGAGCAGUGAACGGGUUAAUCACCCAUAGUCCUUGGUUCACAAUCUUGUCUGAAAAGGCCGACGAGUCGAGGGUUAUCGUUAAUUCAUGGGUUGCAGGUUCAAAUCCUGCCCCACCCG